CGCCAGACUCCUACGGGAGGCAGCAGUGGGGAAUAUUGCACAAUGGGGGAAACCCUGAUGCAGCGACGCCGCGUGAGUGAAGAAGUAUUUCGGUAUGUAAAGCUCUAUCAGCAGGGAAGAAAAUGACGGUACCUGACUAAGAAGCCCCGGCUAACUACGUGCCAGCAGCCGCGGUAAUACGUAGGGGGCAAGCGUUAUCCGGAUUUACUGGGUGUAAAGGGAGCGUAGACGGCAUGGCAAGUCAGAUGUGAAAGCCCGGGGCUCAACCCCGGGACUGCAUUUGAAACUGUCAGGCUGGAGUGCAGGAGAGGUAAGUGGAAUUCCUAGUGUAGCGGUGAAAUGCGUAGAUAUUAGGAGGAACACCAGUGGCGAAGGCGGCUUACUGGACUGUAACUGACGUUGAGGCUCGAAAGCGUGGGGAGCAAACAGGAUUAGAUACCCUGGUAA
RNAcentral lists this ribosomal RNA (447 nucleotides) under uncultured bacterium. RNAcentral's name for it is "bacterial SSU rRNA". It matches the Rfam family "Bacterial small subunit ribosomal RNA", at positions 329 to 793 of the family's 1533-position model. The record is from RNAcentral.